Molecule: long non-coding RNA, 858 nt
Organism: Neogale vison (American mink)
Lineage: Eukaryota; Metazoa; Chordata; Mammalia; Carnivora; Mustelidae
Exons: 3
Source: RefSeq, a predicted model, not a curated record
AGCGGAGCAUGGAAAAGUAGCUCUAGAAAAUGAAACCUGUAAUAGUAGGAAGAAGAACAACGACUGAAAGACUGGUGGAAUAACGUGAAGGGUAGAAGCUGGGAAUCAGAGCCCAAAUUGUAAGAGAACAAAUGGAGAAGGCAGAGAGCCCCAGAAGGUGUGUGUGGAGCCUGGGCUGAGUCCACACUGAAGACAGAGAAUGGAGAGAGGAGCUGGAAGACAGGAUAUCAGCAAGUUUGGAAUAUGAGAAUUUCGCAAAGAACAAGGCCAUGGUGGAGCAUGUGGUUGCCCGAGGAGGGGAGAAUAAGCACAAGCAGAGUCCAGAAAACUUAAGGGAAACCAAGGAAUGCAAGCAGCAGCAGCGUUAGCUGAGCGGGGAAGCCUUGGAGAGUCACUUAGUCCACAGUGAGCCUGUGCCCCUGCCACGGAGCCCCAGAAGAUGGAUCAGGAUUCGUUUGUACUGCUGGAGCGCUGUACCAGUUCCCAGAGGAGGAGAAGGUGCCCACGAGGCUGUGCCCCAGAUCCUGAGCUUCAACCUUGGAGCUGCCUUACGGUGGAUGUCUUCCAAGGACCCUAGACUGCGACCAGAUUUCCGCUCCUCGGGACAAUGCCUGCCAACACCUGGGUUCCAAGGUAGCCCAAAGCAGCUGAUACUUCCCAGGUCUCCGGAGGAAACUUCUGGUAUCGGUAGCUCCCGCCUCUGACUUGGCCAGCUGGAGAAAUCGAGGCAAGUUCACAAAGUCUAAUAGGGGCGUCCUUGCCUUAACGAUCAGUGAUGCUGUGCCUUUGUCUCUGAGAACUUCAGUGCUUUCCAGACUUCACUAUCCUCUCUCCAUAUAAAAUCCUGUAAAUAGGGGU